RNAcentral lists this non-coding RNA (27 nucleotides) under Rattus norvegicus (Norway rat). Lineage: Eukaryota; Metazoa; Chordata; Mammalia; Rodentia; Muridae. The record is from RNAcentral.
UGGGCUUUGGGAAGUGGGAAUGAGGGA